GACGACGCUGGCGGCGUGCCUAACACAUGCAAGUCGAGCGGAGUCGAUCGACGGAAGCCUUCGGGCGGAAGAUGGUUGACUUAGCGGCGGAUGGGUGAGUAACGCGUGGGCAACCUGCCUCGAAGACCGGGAUAACAGCCCGAAAGGGCUGCUAAUACCGGAUGUGGUCAAGGAUCCGCAUGGAUUUUGAUUAAAGGGGAAACCCGUUUCGAGAUGGGCCCGCGUCCUAUCAGCUAGUUGGUGAGGUAAAAGCUCACCAAGGCGACGACGGGUAGCCGGCCUGAGAGGGUGACCGGCCCACUGGAACUGAGACACGGUCCAGACUCCUACGGGGGGCAGCAGUGGGGAAUCUUCCACAAUGGGCGAAAGCCUGAUGGAGCGACGCCGCGUGAGCGAAGAAGGCCUUCGGGUUGUAAAGCUCUGUCUGGAGGGACGAAGGAAGUGACGGUACCUCCGGAGGAAGCCACGGCUAACUACGUG
RNAcentral lists this ribosomal RNA (480 nucleotides) under uncultured bacterium. RNAcentral's name for it is "bacterial SSU rRNA". It matches the Rfam family "Bacterial small subunit ribosomal RNA", at positions 33 to 507 of the family's 1533-position model. The record is from RNAcentral.